This 129-nucleotide ribosomal RNA is filed under the name uncultured bacterium. RNAcentral's name for it is "partial 16S ribosomal RNA". It matches the Rfam family "Bacterial small subunit ribosomal RNA", at positions 917 to 1045 of the family's 1533-position model. The record is from RNAcentral.
GGGCCCGCACAAGCAGCGGAGCAUGUUGUUUAAUUCGACGCAACGCGAAGAACCUUACCUAGGCUUGACAUGACCCUGUAACUCUGGAAACAGGAGCCCCUCGCAAGAGGCGGGGCCACAGGUGGUGCA